UAGGGUCAAGCGAACAAGUGCAUGUGGUGGAUGCCUUGGCGAUCACAGGCGAUGAAGGACGCGGUAGCCUGCGAAAAGCUACGGGGAGCUGGCAAACGAGCUUUGAUCCGUAGAUGUCCGAAUGGGGAAACCCGGCCCUUUUGGGUCAUCCUGGACUGAAUACAUAGGUCCAGUGAAGCGAACGCGGUGAACUGAAACAUCUAAGUAACCGCAGGAAAAGAAAUCAACCGAGAUUCCCAAAGUAGUGGCGAGCGAAAUGGGAUGAGCCUUGCACUCUUUAUUUGUAUUGUUAGCCGAACGCUCUGGAAAGUGCGGCCAUAGCAGGUGAUAGCCCUGUAGGCGAAAACAGUAUGAAAGAACUAGGUGUGCGACAAGUAGGGCGGGACACGUGAAAUCCUGUCUGAAGAUGGGGGGACCAUCCUCCAAGGCUAAAUACUCGUGAUCGACCGAUAGUGAACCAGUACCGUGAGGGAAAGGCGAAAAGAACCCCGGGAGGGGAGUGAAAUAGAUCCUGAAACCGCAUGCAUACAAACAGUCGGAGCCUCGCAAGGGGUGACGGCGUACCUUUUGUAUAAUGGGUCAGCGACUUACGUUCAGUAGCAAGCUUAACCGUAUAGGGCAGGCGUAGCGAAAGCGAGUCCGAAUAGGGCGUUCAGUUGCUGGGCGUAGACCCGAAACCAAGUGAUCUAUCCAUGGCCAGGAUGAAGGUGCGGUAACACGUACUGGAGGUCCGAACCCACUAACGUUGAAAAGUUAGGGGAUGAGCUGUGGAUAGGGGUGAAAGGCUAAACAAACUUGGAAAUAGCUGGUUCUCUCCGAAAACUAUUUAGGUAGUGCCUCGUGUCUCACCUUCGGGGGUAGAGCACUGUCAUGGUUGGGGGGUCUAUUGCAGAUUACCCCGCCAUAGCAAACUCCGAAUACCGAAGAGUGCAAUCACGGGAGACAGACAUCGGGUGCUAACGUCCGGUGUCAAGAGGGAAACAACCCAGACCGCCAGCUAAGGUCCCCAAAUAUAGCUAAGUGGGAAACGAAGUGGGAAGGCUAAAACAGUCAGGAGGUUGGCUUAGAAGCAGCCACCCUUUAAAGAAAGCGUAAUAGCUCACUGAUCGAGUCGUCCUGCGCGGAAGAUGUAACGGGGCUAAGCUAUAUACCGAAGCUGCGGAUGCGAGCUAUGCUCGCAUGGUAGGAGAGCGUUCCGUAAGCCUGCGAAGGUGCGUUGAAAAGCGUGCUGGAGGUAUCGGAAGUGCGAAUGCUGACAUGAGUAGCGAUAAAGGGGGUGAAAGGCCCCCUCGCCGUAAGCCCAAGGUUUCCUACGCAACGUUCAUCGGCGUAGGGUGAGUCGGCCCCUAAGGCGAGGCAGAAAUGCGUAGCUGAUGGGAAGCAGGUCAAUAUUCCUGCACCAUUGUUAGAUGCGAUGGGGGGACGGAUCGCGGAAGGUUGUCCGGGUGUUGGAAGUCCCGGUCGCUGCAUUGGAGAAGGCGCUUAGGCAAAUCCGGGCGC
RNAcentral lists this ribosomal RNA (1500 nucleotides) under Burkholderia sp. NFPP32. Its description in RNAcentral is "bacterial LSU rRNA". It matches the Rfam family "Bacterial large subunit ribosomal RNA", at positions 1 to 1549 of the family's 2925-position model. Lineage: Bacteria; Pseudomonadati; Pseudomonadota; Betaproteobacteria; Burkholderiales; Burkholderiaceae. The record is from RNAcentral. RNAcentral also lists the same sequence under 1 other name.